CGAUGAGUAGGGCGGGACACGUGGUAUCCUGUCUGAAUAUGGGGGGACCAUCCUCCAAGGCUAAAUACUCCUGACUGACCGAUAGUGAACCAGUACCGUGAGGGAAAGGCGAAAAGAACCCCGGCGAGGGGAGUGAAAAAGAACCUGAAACCGUGUACGUACAAGCAGUGGGAGCACCCUUUGGGGUGUGACUGCGUACCUUUUGUAUAAUGGGUCAGCGACUUAUAUUCUGUAGCAAGGUUAACCGAAUAGGGGAGCCGGAGGGAAACCGAGUCUUAAUUGGGCGUUAAGUUGCAGGGUAUAGACCCGAAACCCGGUGAUCUAGCCAUGGGCAGGUUGAAGGUUGGGUAACACUAACUGGAGGACCGAACCGACUAAUGUUGAAAAAUUAGCGGAUGACCUGUGGCUGGGGGUGAAAGGCCAAUCAAACCGGGAGAUAGCUGGUUCUCCCCGAAAGCUAUUUAGGUAGCGCCUCGUGAAUUCAUCUCCGGGGGUAGAGCACUGUUUCGGCUAGGGGGCCAUCCCGGCUUACCAACCCGAUGCAAACUGCGAAUACCGGAGAAUGUUAUCACGGGAGACACACGGCGGGUGCUAACGUCCGUCGUGAAGAGGGAAACAACCCAGACCGCCAGCUAAGGUCCCAAAGUCAUGGUUAAGUGGGAAACGAUGUGGGAAGGCCCAGACAGCCAGGAUGUUGGCUUAGAAGCAGCCAUCAUUUAAAGAAAGCGUAAUAGCUCACUGGUCGAGUCGGCCUGCGCGGAAGAUGUAACGGGGCUAAACCAUGCACCGAAGCUGCGGCAGCGAACGUAUCACUUAAAGCGAUUCAGCGGAUGACGAUUGACGGAGCGAAGCGACGUCAAAGCGUAUACAAAGUCGAGUCGGUUUAAGGAUACGUUCGUUGGGUAGGGGAGCGUUCUGUAA
RNAcentral lists this ribosomal RNA (921 nucleotides) under Salmonella enterica subsp. enterica serovar Bovismorbificans. RNAcentral's name for it is "partial 23S ribosomal RNA". It matches the Rfam family "Bacterial large subunit ribosomal RNA", at positions 406 to 1246 of the family's 2925-position model. The record is from RNAcentral. Lineage: Bacteria; Pseudomonadati; Pseudomonadota; Gammaproteobacteria; Enterobacterales; Enterobacteriaceae.